This is an RNA transcript of Thalassophryne amazonica, 3956 nucleotides long. It is a transcript of the gene named RNA-binding protein with multiple splicing-like, with no coding region annotated. Lineage: Eukaryota; Metazoa; Chordata; Actinopteri; Batrachoidiformes; Batrachoididae. The transcript has 9 exons. The record is from RefSeq and is a predicted model, not a curated record.
AACUUGAUCGCAGCCCGGUGGUACGUUUCUCCUCCCCACACGCCUCCUUCCCUCCCACCUUCCCUUCCUUCCUUCCUUCCUCCCUCGCCAGGAGAUGGGGAAAGAAGUUUCCCUGCGGCGCAGUCCAGUGAACGUUUACAGUAUUUCAUUUGAGGAACAGCAACAAGAUCCUGCGGAGAAGCUUUUUUUAUUAUUCUUUUUUUUACGGCAACGCUGAGGAAUAUCUGAGCGCGCUGUCACGUCCCGCUUUUGACUUUUUCUCGAUUCCUAAAUCUUUCUUCAUGUCGCCAAACUAGUGAAGCUUCGGGUCAGUGGGACAGCGGCCGCUCGCCGACUGUGUCUGUGGGUGUACUGGCUGUUUUUGUGUCCCGAAAAAGAGACUAAACAAACCCCCCAAACCGUCCGAGACCAGAGUGAUAAGACCGACUCAGAAUGAAUAACAACAAAAUCGAGAAAGAAAACGACCAGAGUGAAUUUAGCAACCACGAAGAGGAGGUCCGAACGCUAUUCGUCAGUGGGCUACCACUGGAUAUUAAGCCGAGGGAGCUCUAUCUCCUCUUCAGACCUUUUAAGGGUUAUGAAGGCUCCUUGAUAAAGCUCACCUCCAAACAGCCGGUGGGGUUUGUCAGCUUUGACAGUCGAUCAGAGGCCGAGGCUGCUAAGAAUGCCUUGAACGGGGUCCGGUUUGAUCCAGAAAUCCCUCAGACCCUUCGGCUGGAGUUCGCCAAGGCCAAUACCAAGAUGGCCAAGAACAAGUUGGUUGGGACCCCCAAUCCUCCUCCCUCCCAGCAGAGCCCCGGCCCACAGUUCAUUAGCAGAGACCCAUAUGAGCUCACAGUGCCUGCUCUAUAUCCCAGCAGCCCAGACGUGUGGGCGUCAUACCCACUGUACCCGGCGGAGCUGUCGCCGGCCCUCCCACCCGCUUUCACCUACCCCUCCUCGCUCCAUGCUCAGAUUCGCUGGCUCCCACCUGCAGAUGGAACUCCUCAGGGAUGGAAGUCCAGGCAGUUCUGCUGAAGUAUGUGUUCCUGAUGUGUGAUGGCGGCCACGGCCGGCUGUGACGGACAUUGCUGAUUGCCUCCUCUCAUGCCCAAACUAGAAACCAGGAGGACUGACUUAACUCCAGCUCUCGGAACAGCAUACCGUCGGCAGCGGCAGCCGCUUAGGCAUCAGGACAUACUCGAGCCCAGCCUCCAUCACACAUCGAACCCCCCCAAAAACCCACUUUUUAAAAUUUUUUUAUUUUAUACUGUUACAUAGUCUACAUUCACUGGCGGCACUUUAACUACACCUCCUCUUAAACCCAACCAAACAGUCCAGGAUACGUGCUACAAGCGUCUAAUAUGCAAGCGUAAAGACUUUGCAAAGCCAGAUUUCUGGAAGUGUGGCUAAAGUGCAACCAGAUAAUGUUAUUAUACAACCCUAAUUAUUACUAUUCUGUGUAUUAUUCUUAUUAAUGUUAUUAUGAUUAUUAAAUACUUGUUGAAGCAUGACUUUGCAAAAAAAAAAAAAAAAAACCUGAAAAAACCCUAGGGAAAAAAAAUGCUGUACAUUUUUAGAUAUUUUAAAGAAAUACAAAAAUGUAUUUUUGUAAUCAAGAUCAUGUUUGAUUUAAUGUUGUGCUAAAGUGUGCGAGGAACUUGUUGGAAACCUCAAGACUUCAUGUUAAUUUUAAGUCGCCCUGCUUAUACCAAAGUAGUCUCGUCCGUGUUGAAAGCCGGUCACGCUAGCGUUUUGGCAGCGGAUUUUAAAAAUGUGAAUUUUUGAAAAAGCAAAUUGUUGCUCAGCUGAAGUAUAACUGUCCAAAAAUGCUCUCACUCACUCAUCUUCAACAGCUUAUCCAAGAUCGGGUUGCACGGGGGGACAGACUGCUGUCCACACAACGCAUUCACAACCGCAUGCACACCAACGGAUGAUUUAAACUUUCCAGUCCACCUAACCUGCAUGUUUGGAUGUGGGAGGAAGCCGGAGCACCCGGCGGGAACCCACGCAAAAAAACGGGGAGAAUAUGCAAACGCCACACAUAAAGGUCACAGGUGGGAAUCGAUCCCAUAACCUUCUUGCUGUGAGGCAACAGUGCUAACCACUAAACCACCAUGCUGCCCCUGUCCAAAAAGGGAUCAAGAUAAUGUGUUGCUGGCUGUGAGACAAGCCGGUGUAAUAAAUGUAUUCCCUUUAGGAAACUAGAUCGUUCAUUCAUUUUCUACCACUUAAUCAGAGUUCAGAUUGCAGUGGCAAUAGUAGCAAUAGACAAAUGCUACGUUUUAAAACCCACGGAAGGUCUGAGAUUCCUACCGCUAGCUCGUGGGGAAAACUGCCUCGUAUGUGCCACCGAGCCAGAAUUCUCGCUCGGAAACCUAUGAGAAAAUUGAGUAAUCCAAGGUUUAAAUCCAAGAUUUCGUUUAAAUGAUUUUUUUGCCAUAUGUAAUAUAUUGACAUUCUGUGUACAAUUAGUUAUCAGCAAAUCCAAGGUUUCGUUUAAAUGAAUUUUUGCCAUAUGUAAUAUAUUGACAUUCUGUGUACAAUUAGUUAUCAGCAAAAAUUACUUUCAUUUAGCGCACCCCCCCCCCCCCCCCCCCCCCAAAAAAAAGAAAAAGCAUUAGCCUAGUGCUACGGUGACAGGCUAAGUAGUUGAUCCAUAUUUGCCUCUGAGAUAAUCUCAUGAAGGCACUUUUUCCAGAAGUACAACUUUUUUAUGUCUGGUCUUUCCGAGCUUCCGAAGGUUCUGAAAGCAGCAUAAGCAGCUCAUCGUACGCCAUCUUCGGCUAAGUCCGAAAACUAGGUCAGUUACUACAAUUUAUUUAAAGACAAGGCAACUCUGUUCUUAGGUGUAUAAAUACUUUAAAACAAAAAUCUGAGAAUCAGGGUAUUACAAUGAUUAAAAAUGCAUGUGAGAACCCCAGCGCAAAGUGCAUUAAUAAUAAUAGAUAAGAAUCUAAAGCAUUAAAAAAAAAAAGUUAAUGUAUUGAAUUACGAAUUAGCUUCAGCAAACUGUUUUCAGGCCUGAUUUAAAUAAACUGACUCUUGCUAGGUUUGGUUGUUGGAGUGUAGGUGGCUACGUACUGACCUUAACAAGUUUGUCAAAUACAUUCUGAGCUGUAUAUUUUUGGAGUAACAACAAGAUUUAGUAAUUUUACAAAGAAAUUAAUCUUGUAGAUAGAUAUUUGAUGAUUAGCGCCACACUGACAACAAAGUAGCUGCAGCGCAACAUCGCUACGUUAGCUAAUUUUCAUAGUUAAAAUUUUCUAUCACCUAGCGUGACCAGCACUUUUUUUUCCUUUUUCUUUUGCACAUUUGUGUCUUUCUAUCAUGUGGCCAAGCAUACUAGCCCUUUGUCUUGCUUUCCUUGCUUUGGUCCAACUGAGCAGUCAUUGUUGCAAAACGCCAGACUGAGCUCGUAGCGCUGCUUUAGGUUGGAGUUUGAGGUAAUAAUCAGACGCGUUAAAAGAUGAGGCAUAAUGACGGGAAUAAGCCAUCGCUGCUGAAGUUAGGCUGACCCCAGAGACUGCAGACUGAGGCCUGCUAUAUUUAGUUUUCUCCUUUGUCAUGUAGCAGGAGGACAGCAGCGCACCAUUCGAGAAAUAAAAGACCAAAGGCAUUUUUGUACACUGGAGAGCCAUCGAGGCGAGUGGAAUUAUUCCGUUUUUGACAGCUUUGUAGUCCUCAAUCUGAUUUCUUAUGAAGUAUGUUAUUUUUUGCUGCACGUCUCUUUUGGUGUCACUCCAAAGAGCGACUCUGCAUCUUAAAGGCUAUUGUCGCUGUUAGAAAUUUGUCUCGCUUUUGUCUAUUUUUAAUCCAAUACUGUUCCAACCUGCCUUUUGUAAAUUGUGAAUUUACAUAGUGAUAAUUGGAGUGAAGAGUGGAAAAAAAAAACUUUUUGUAAUCCGCAAUAAUGCCUUUGCUGUACGACACGUCGUCGAGCGAUCGUAUUUUCUGACAUUUUGAUGCCAAAAUUC